This 253-nucleotide ribosomal RNA is filed under the name uncultured bacterium. RNAcentral describes it as "partial 16S ribosomal RNA". It matches the Rfam family "Bacterial small subunit ribosomal RNA", at positions 524 to 776 of the family's 1533-position model. The record is from RNAcentral.
CACGUAGGGCGCAAGCGUUGUCCGGAAUUAUUGGGCUUAAAGAGCUCGUAGGUGGUUUGUUACGUCUGCUGUGAAAUCCUAGGGCUUAACCCUGGGCUUGCAGUGGAUACGGGCAGACUAGAGGUAGGUAGGGGAGAAUGGAAUUCCUGGUGUAGCGGUGAAAUGCGCAGAUAUCAGGAGGAACACCGGUGGCGAAGGCGGUUCUCUGGGCCUUACCUGACACUGAGGAGCGAAAGCGUGGGGAGCGAACAGG